UAACUUCUUUAAACCUUUGAGCACACUCUCCAGCAGGCUUAGCCAACUCACUUUAUCACUAUAAAAGCAAAAGAAAUCAUAAAGCAACAUUCAAGAGCUUAUAUCGUAUGCUACUAUAAAUAUUUGCUAAGUAACAAACAAACAAAAAAAAAUCAUGAAAGAAUCAUAUAUUACACACAGCAAGUUGUACUGCUUCUAAGAAAAAUACAUCAAGAAACAUUUAGGGUGGCGCCUGGGUGGCUCAGUGGGUUAGGCCGCUGCCUUCGGCUCGGGUCAUGAU
Mustela erminea (ermine) is the source of this 280-nucleotide long non-coding RNA. RefSeq lists it as uncharacterized. Lineage: Eukaryota; Metazoa; Chordata; Mammalia; Carnivora; Mustelidae. The record is from RefSeq and is a predicted model, not a curated record. The transcript has 3 exons.